CAGGAAUAGAUCUACAAAAUGUUUUGAGAAGCCUUGAAUUGGCAUGGAGGGAACGUCUGAAGAUCCCUAACUAGACUGUACUCAUUUUCACAUGGACUGAGCAAUCUCAUUUCAGACAACUGUGACUACAAGGUGCAAUUCUUCAAUCGCAGGAUCAACCUUGGGCAACCUGCUCUGGCAGAAGAUGUCCCUGCUCAUUGCAGGGGACUUGGAACUAAAUGAUCUGUAAGGUUCCUUCCAACACAACCCAUUCUACAAUUAGUUGCUUACUCAAAAUCACAGAAUGUCAGGGCCUCGAAGGAACCUUGAAA
Pogoniulus pusillus (Red-fronted tinkerbird) is the source of this 311-nucleotide long non-coding RNA. RefSeq lists it as uncharacterized. Lineage: Eukaryota; Metazoa; Chordata; Aves; Piciformes; Lybiidae. The record is from RefSeq and is a predicted model, not a curated record. The transcript is spliced from 2 exons.